CGCAAUGGGCGGAGCUACACAUGCAGUCGAGCGGUAGCACAGAGAGCUUGCUCUCGGGUGACGAGCGGCGGACGGGUGAGUAAUGUCUGGGAAACUGCCUGAUGGAGGGGGAUAACUACUGGAAACGGUAGCUAAUACCGCAUAAUGUCGCAAGACCAAAGUGGGGGACCUUCGGGCCUCAUGCCAUCAGAUGUGCCCAGAUGGGAUUAGCUAGUAGGUGGGGUAACGGCUCACCUAGGCGACGAUCCCUAGCUGGUCUGAGAGGAUGACCAGCCACACUGGAACUGAGACACGGUCCAGACUCCUACGGGAGGCAGCAGUGGGGAAUAUUGCACAAUGGGCGCAAGCCUGAUGCAGCCAUGCCGCGUGUGUGAAGAAGGCCUUCGGGUUGUAAAGCACUUUCAGCGGGGAGGAAGGCGAUAAGGUUAAUAACCUUGUCGAUUGACGUUACCCGCAGAAGAAGCACCGGCUAACUCCGUGCCAGCAGCCGCGGUAAUACGGAGGGUGCAAGCGUUAAUCGGAAUUACUGGGCGUAAAGCGCACGCAGGCGGUCUGUCAAGUCGGAUGUGAAAUCCCCGGGCUCAACCUGGGAACUGCAUUCGAAACUGGCAGGCUAGAGUCUUGUAGAGGGGGGUAGAAUUCCAGGUGUAGCGGUGAAAUGCGUAGAGAUCUGGAGGAAUACCGGUGGCGAAGGCGGCCCCCUGGACAAAGACUGACGCUCAGUGCGAAAGCGUGGGGAGCAAACAGGAUUAGAUACCCUGGUAGUCCACGCCGUAAACGAUGUCGAUUUGGAGGUUGUGCCCUUGAGGCGUGGCUUCCGGAGCUAACGCGUUAAAUCGACCGCCUGGGGAGUACGGCCGCAAGGUUAAAACUCAAAUGAAUUGACGGGGGCCCGCACAAGCGGUGGAGCAUGUGGUUUAAUUCGAUGCAACGCGAAGAACCUUACCUGGUCUUGACAUCCACAGAACUUUCCAGAGAUGGAUUGGUGCCUUCGGGAACUGUGAGACAGGUGCUGCAUGGCUGUCGUCAGCUCGUGUUGUGAAAUGUUGGGUUAAGUCCCGCAACGAGCGCAACCCUUAUCCUUUGUUGCCAGCGGUUAGGCCGGGAACUCAAAGGAGACUGCCAGUGAUAAACUGGAGGAAGGUGGGGAUGACGUCAAGUCAUCAUGGCCCUUACGACCAGGGCUACACACGUGCUACAAUGGCAUAUACAAAGAGAAGCGACCUCGCGAGAGCAAGCGGACCUCAUAAAGUAUGUCGUAGUCCGGAUUGGAGUCUGCAACUCGACUCCAUGAAGUCGGAAUCGCUAGUAAUCGUAGAUCAGAAUGCUACGGUGAAUACGUUCCCGGGCCUUGUACACACCGCCCGUCACACCAUGGGAGUGGGUUGCAAAAGAAGUAGGUAGCUUAACCUUCGGGAGGGCGCUACCACUUUGUAUCCGGGC
RNAcentral lists this ribosomal RNA (1443 nucleotides) under Klebsiella pneumoniae. RNAcentral describes it as "bacterial SSU rRNA". It matches the Rfam family "Bacterial small subunit ribosomal RNA". Lineage: Bacteria; Pseudomonadati; Pseudomonadota; Gammaproteobacteria; Enterobacterales; Enterobacteriaceae. The record is from RNAcentral.